This 2060-nucleotide long non-coding RNA is filed under the name Cotesia glomerata. Its description in RNAcentral is "uncharacterized LOC123264065, transcript variant X8". Lineage: Eukaryota; Metazoa; Arthropoda; Insecta; Hymenoptera; Braconidae. The record is from RNAcentral.
CUGUCUCUGAAGAAUUUAAUCCAAAUCUCUUUUCAAUUGUCGUGAUAACCACGUUUAUGAAACCGUUUACUACCAUUCCUUUAUUUGAAGAAAAAAAAACAUUUCUUUAAUUUUAAUGAUACACGUUUUCAUGCUCGUACACGAGGAUAGGAAUCGAUUGCCCGCGGAGAAGAAGGGCAGUCUCAUUACACGGUUUUAUUUCCUCGGGAUUACCGAUAGAACCGUUCGGGAUCGAAUGCAUAUACAAACCACCAGCCCAGCAAAGCCAAAACAAAGCCCACUUAGCUGUCCUAAAUUUCUGCAAAUAAGAGGGCCUGAAAGAAAACCACCCGCACAAAGACUUGGACACCGACACUUGUGAAUCUAAUUGCUCUUCAGCUUUUAUUUCUUCCUUGAUGGUCGCCACAUCGUGCUCGACAAAUUUAGAGAAGAAAUCAAAGAAGACUAAAGAAUGUGCCAUUCUUUCCACUCAACCAAAAACUUACACUAAAUGAAAAUUUAUCGCGCAUCUUAAAAAGAAUAGCCUAAAAAAUCAGUAAAAAAAGCUUCGAUGACCAUCACUCUUUAUGUGGACAAAGCGAGUGAAGAAGACUAUGUUAACUGAACAACCCGUGAGACAUUAAGCCAACUCCUGAGAGAAAUACCCAGUCUUAAAUAAAAUUAAAAUAUAAAAAUUGAAAUGAAACUAAGAAGAUGUCUAGCUGGGUUUACUUAGCCCAGAGUAAACAGAAGGAAUGAAAAAAUAAAAAAAAAACAAAGAGCAACAAAGAAGCAAUAGUAAAGAAGAGAAGGGUAGAUGCCACGCGACUGUCCAUAAAUUUACCAGAAUUAAUACAAAGAUCUAUUGCUUCCGUUUUGCAUAUUAAUGAUUAUAUGUACACAGCUAUACAUAUGAAUAGGUGUAUACAAAGCCUGUUAUGUAAAUAUAUGACCCAUUGAGUAAAAAGAGGGAUUACGAGGAUGAGUAGGAUGAGGAGCGAGCGCGUGACAUAUACUCGUUGAUGGGCCCGGAGGCCGGAGGCUGAGUUUUAAAAACGCUCGUGCAAAUACCAAAUAGCAAUAGUGUGUAGGGUGACUUGCGGUUCGUUAUUUGCACUUUGAACGAGCAGCGGGGAUCGAGAUAGAGAGAAAAAUGAUAAAGUCGAAUUGUUGAACUUUGUCGUGUGUCGAGUUGAGAGUGGAGCAAAGGGUGCUUGCCUUGUUGCGUGGGCGUCGGAAUCAAACGUUAAUUGCCGUCUGCUUCGGAUAAUCGAUUUUCGAUCGUUAUACUCAAUCUCGCUGCUUUUAAUCGUGUUUCAUUUUUGACAGACUCACGGAUUUAUAAUGUCAAUUGUCAAAUUUUAUUCAUCAAACAUCCGCUUUUUUUUUUUUUACAAUUUAAUGAUUGACACAAAUAUUGAAGUAUUUAAAAGACUACUGCGCUAAUUACACGACAAUGCACCCCGAAGAUUCAAAAAAAUUCCCAAGCAUCUAUUCUCUUCUAUUAUAUCACUUUACUCCGACAAAAGUAGAGAACAGAGAGCCGAGCCAUCAGCAAAUGAACCGCCUGGAGUUUUACACAUAGCCGAUUCAAGGAGCUAUCCGAAACACUCAACCCGUAUUUAGAGCAACCAGCCAACGAUAUUUCUUCUCGCUCUACUCUAAAUUCCAGCAUCUACCAACAUAUUCAACACAUCCAGGCACGUAUAGCUUUUAAAUUAUUUAUACUUACUAUUUCUUCCGACAGCUCCAAUGCUGGGUUAUUUAUCCCCGCCAUUCUAGACCUAGAAGACAUAUUUGUUAACUUUUUAUUUAUUUAUUUAAAUAUUUAAAUAUCUAUUUAUUUAUUUAUUUAUAUAUUAGAUAGUGACUUGCGAGUCAAGGUUAGCUGAUAAGAUAACAAUUUAGCAGAUAAAUAAUAAUUUAAAAUAUAAUAAUAAUCAUUUCAUGUCUGCAACAGUACACAUACUCGGUUUAUUUAACAGGAUAAUCAUCACUCAUCACUUUCGAUUUAUUUAUGUACUUUAAAGAGCUGCAAUUAUUUUUUUUUAUUAUUAAACUCUUGUCUGGUCAUAAAUUAA